CCCUUAGAUGUUCUGGGCUGCACGCGCGCUACACUGAUGCGCUCAACGAGUUUAUGACCUUGCCCGGAAGGGUUGGGUAAUCUUUUCAAAACGCAUCGUGAUGGGGAUAGAUUAUUGCAAUUAUUAAUCUUCAACGAGGAAUUCCUAGUAAGCGCGAGUCAUCAGCUCGUGCUGAUUACGUCCCUGCCCUUUGUACACACCGCCCGUCACUCCUACCGAUUGAGUGAUCCGGUGAAUAAUUCGGACUGCAGCAAUGUUCAGCUCCUGAAUGUUGCAGCGGAAAGUUUAGUGAACCUUAUCACUUAGAGGAAGGAGAAGUCGUAACA
RNAcentral lists this ribosomal RNA (326 nucleotides) under uncultured eukaryote. RNAcentral's name for it is "partial 18S ribosomal RNA". It matches the Rfam family "Eukaryotic small subunit ribosomal RNA", at positions 1470 to 1796 of the family's 1831-position model. The record is from RNAcentral.